AACGAACGCUGGCGGCAGGCCUAACACAUGCAAGUCGAACGAGAAGUUACCUUCGGGUAAUGGACAGUGGCGCACGGGAGAGUAACACGUGGGAACCUACCUUUUGGUUUGGGAUAACGUCGGGAAACUGACGCUAAUACCAGAUAAGCCCUUUUGGGGAAAGAUUUAUCGCCGAUAGAUGGGCCCGCGUUGGAUUAGCUAGUUGGUAAGGUAAUGGCUUACCAAGGCUCCGAUCUAUAGCUGGUCUGAGAGGAUGACCAGUCUCACUGGGACUGAGACACGGCCCAG
This 288-nucleotide ribosomal RNA is filed under the name uncultured bacterium. RNAcentral's name for it is "partial 16S ribosomal RNA". It matches the Rfam family "Bacterial small subunit ribosomal RNA", at positions 29 to 334 of the family's 1533-position model. The record is from RNAcentral.